CCUACGGGAGGCAGCAGUGAGGAAUAUUGGUCAAUGGACGAGAGUCUGAACCAGCCAAGUAGCGUGAAGGAUGACUGCCCUAUGGGUUGUAAACUUCUUUUAUAAAGGAAUAAAACGAGGCACGUGUGCCUUUUUGCAUGUACUUUAUGAAUAAGGAUCGGCUAACUCCGUGCCAGCAGCCGCGGUAAUACGGAGGAUCCGAGCGUUAUCCGGAUUUAUUGGGUUUAAAGGGAGCGUAGAUGGGUUGUUAAGUCAGUUGUGAAAGUUUGCGGGUCAACCGUAAAAUUGCAAUUGAUACUGGAAGUCUUGAGUACAGUUGAGGUAGGCGGAAUUCGUGGUGUAGCGGUGAAAUGCUUAGAUAUCACGAAGAACCCCGAUUGCGAAGGCAGCUUACUAAACUGUGACUGACAUUGAUGCUCGAAAGUGUGGGUAUCAAACAGGAUUAGAUACCCGUGUAGUC
This 460-nucleotide ribosomal RNA is filed under the name uncultured bacterium. RNAcentral's name for it is "partial 16S ribosomal RNA". It matches the Rfam family "Bacterial small subunit ribosomal RNA", at positions 338 to 795 of the family's 1533-position model. The record is from RNAcentral.